GGGUUGUUAGCUCAGUUGGGAGAGCAUCGCCCUUACAAGGCGAAGGUCACUGGUUCAAGUCCAGUACAACCCACCA
This 76-nucleotide transfer RNA is filed under the name Pseudoalteromonas viridis. RNAcentral describes it as "tRNA-Val". It matches the Rfam family "tRNA". Rfam says of the family: Transfer RNA (tRNA) molecules are approximately 80 nucleotides in length. Their secondary structure includes four short double-helical elements and three loops (D, anti-codon, and T loops). Further hydrogen bonds mediate the characteristic L-shaped molecular structure. tRNAs have two regions of fundamental functional importance: the anti-codon, which is responsible for specific mRNA codon recognition, and the 3' end, to which the tRNAs corresponding amino acid is attached (by aminoacyl-tRNA synthetases). tRNAs cope with the degeneracy of the genetic code in two manners: having more than one tRNA (with a specific anti-codon) for a particular amino acid; and 'wobble' base-pairing, i.e. permitting non-standard base-pairing at the 3rd anti-codon position. Lineage: Bacteria; Pseudomonadati; Pseudomonadota; Gammaproteobacteria; Alteromonadales; Pseudoalteromonadaceae. The record is from RNAcentral.